RNAcentral lists this ribosomal RNA (481 nucleotides) under uncultured Methanosaeta sp. Its description in RNAcentral is "bacterial SSU rRNA". It matches the Rfam family "Archaeal small subunit ribosomal RNA", at positions 858 to 1338 of the family's 1478-position model. Lineage: Archaea; Methanobacteriati; Methanobacteriota; Methanomicrobia; Methanotrichales; Methanotrichaceae. The record is from RNAcentral.
UACAAAGGAAUUGACGGGGAGCACCACAACGGGUGGAGCUUGCGGUUUAAUUGGAUUCAACGCCGGAAUCUUACCGGGACCGACAGCAAUAUGAAGGCCAGGCUGAAGACUUUGCCGGAUUAGCUGAGAGGUGGUGCAUGGCCGUCGUCAGUUCGUACUGUGAAGCAUCCUGUUAAGUCAGGCAACGAGCGAGACCCACGCCCACAGUUGCCAGCGUACUCUCUGGAGUGACGGGUACACUGUGGGACCGCCGCUGCUAAAGCGGAGGAAGGAAUGGGCAACGGUAGGUCAGUAUGCCCCGAAUAUCCCGGGCUACACGCGAGCUACAGUGGUUGGUACAAUGGGUAUCUACCCCGAAAGGGGACGGGAAUCUCCUAAAACCAAUCUUAGUUCGGAUUGAGGGCUGCAACUCGCCCUCAUGAAGCUGGAAUCCGUAGUAAUCGCGUUUCAACAGAACGCGGUGAAUACGUCCCUGCUCCUU